This 254-nucleotide ribosomal RNA is filed under the name uncultured bacterium. RNAcentral describes it as "partial 16S ribosomal RNA". It matches the Rfam family "Bacterial small subunit ribosomal RNA", at positions 524 to 776 of the family's 1533-position model. The record is from RNAcentral.
UACGUGGGGGCAAGCGUUGUCCGGAAUCAUUGGGCGUAAAGAGCGCGUAGGCGGUCCGGUAAGUCGGUUGUGAAAACUGGGGGCUCAACCCUCAGAGGCCGACCGAUACUGUCGGGCUAGAGUCCGGAAGAGGCGAGUGGAAUUCCUGGUGUAGCGGUGGAAUGACGCAGAUAUCAGGAGGAACACCAAUGGCGAAGGCAGCUCGCUGGGACGGUACUGACGCUGAGGCGACGAAAGCGUGGGGAGCAAACAGG